Molecule: unclassified non-coding RNA, 184 nt
Filed under: uncultured Ascomycota
Lineage: Eukaryota; Fungi; Ascomycota
Also listed under: 1 other name
Description: sequence contains ITS1
Source: RNAcentral
CCGAGUUAUACAACUCCCAAACCCACUGUGAACCUUACCUCAGUUGCCUCGGCGGGACCGCCCCGGCCGCCGCGCAAGCGGCGCCGGACUCCAAGGCGCCCGCCGCAGGGACCCAAAACUCUUUUGCAUUACGCCCAACGGCGGGAAUUUUUUCUCUGAGUGCAUAAGCAAAACAAAUGAAUCA